UACGUAGGGUGCAAGCGUUGUCCGGAAUUAUUGGGCGUAAAGAGCUCGUAGGCGGUUUGUCGCGUCUGCUGUGAAAACUCGGGGCUUAACUCCGGGCCUGCAGUGGGUACGGGCAGACUAGAGUGCGGUAGGGGAGACUGGAAUUCCUGGUGUAGCGGUGAAAUGCGUAGAUAUCAGGAGGAACACCGGUGGCGAAGGCGGGUCUCUGGGCCGUAACUGACGCUGAGGAGCGAAAGCGUGGGGAGCGAACAGG
RNAcentral lists this ribosomal RNA (253 nucleotides) under uncultured bacterium. RNAcentral describes it as "partial 16S ribosomal RNA". It matches the Rfam family "Bacterial small subunit ribosomal RNA", at positions 524 to 776 of the family's 1533-position model. The record is from RNAcentral.